Molecule: ribosomal RNA, 253 nt
Filed under: uncultured bacterium
Lineage: Bacteria
Description: partial 16S ribosomal RNA
Rfam family: Bacterial small subunit ribosomal RNA
Source: RNAcentral
GACAGGGGAUGCAAGCGUUACUCGGCAUUACUGGGCGUAAAGCGUCUGCAGGCGUCUCGCCACGUCUGGUGUCAAAUAACGGAGCUCAACUCCGUUCACGUGCCGGAAACGAGCGAGAUUGAGUCAUUGAAAGGCAUCUGGAAUGUCGUGUGUAGGGGUAAAAUCCGUAGAUCCACGAUGGAACGCCAAAAGCGAAGGCAGGAUGCUGGCAAUGUACUGACGCUCAGAGACGAAAGCGUGGGGAGCAAACAGG